This is a long non-coding RNA of Triticum aestivum (bread wheat), 1623 nucleotides long. RefSeq lists it as uncharacterized. The record is from RefSeq and is a predicted model, not a curated record. The transcript has 4 exons. Lineage: Eukaryota; Viridiplantae; Streptophyta; Magnoliopsida; Poales; Poaceae.
CGCGGGAAUCCGAUGCUGUGCGCUAAUUUUCAUGGGCACGAAUCCGACGCUGUGCGGUGAUUCGUAUGCCCGGGAAUCACUCAGUCUGCUAACUUUUGCUUCAGCGGACGCGACCGCAUCAGUCACUCAGCACUACUUUUGCUUCAGCGGACGCGACCGUAUCAGUCACUCAGCACUGCUUUUGCUUUAGAGGACACGACGGCACUGCGGGAAUUAACUCACUCGGUGCGGGAAUCCGAGGCUGCAGUAGGAUGAGUUUUAACCUGAUCUGCCGACACUACAGGGAUCCUCUUCCUUUUUAUAUGCCAUGCUUCAGCUCCGUGCGUAAGCAUACUCUAUGUGACCUCGUUCCUCUCCUUUGCUCUCUAAGUCUCUAAGUACAGAGAGAAAAAGGCUCAGUAAGCACUUUCACUCGUGAUUUAGGACGAUUUAGAGUUGGAUUUUGAAAAUGAUGAAGUUGAAGAAAAGAUAGAUUAAGGCAUUAUUUCAGCACUUGGAGGAGUCAUUUGGAGUUUCUGGAGUAGGAUUUGCCGUGCAAAGUGAAGUACGAAGGGGAAGAACGAGGUUGACUCCGUUCAUAUAAUACUGGUGACGGAUAUUUAUUCGAACUAUUUUGACGCUUAAUUGCAGUCGCAAGCACAUCCAUAUUGGAGCUGAGGUACUAUGGAAAAUUUAUUAGUGUACUAUGGGAACGUCUUACGCGACGGUCCUUUCGGGGUGGAUGUGUUCUUCUGCGAGUCGACUACAGUUGUAGUUAGAGACAUGGUCAACGUGGGUUAUUCAACUGUCAGAAGGUGCAUCCGAGCGGUGUUUGGCCCAGGGAUGCAGGGAAAAAAUUUGACAACGGAGGCCUUCGUCGCUGACGGAGCAAAUGAUGGGAUAGCUGCCCGUUGGGGUUUGCGGCCUGUCACAGGUGAUCAGUCGUGGGGGUCGUACAUGAGGUUUGCAAGCAAUCCCAAUAACCCAGUGUUUGGUCAGCCGAUGGUGUAUGCGGAGUUCAUUUCAGUCACUGAUGUUGCCGAAUGCAAUAGCAGGGGCGGUGAGGUCGAGUUGGCCAUCACAUCAGCCCCUAGCAUCGGCCCAUCGGAACUGACGGGCGACCAGCCUGUGUAUGACACAGGAUAUUGGUCUGCGGCCGUUGACAUGAGUGAACAUGUGGAGGGAUUGCCGGAGGCGCUAGAUGAUGACGAUCACUCUUCCGCGUCUUCCGAGUCAAGCGAAGAAGAAGAUGUUCCUCCCGAGAGGGCGGUCACGGCGUCACUGCAACCUGGGUUUUUACAGGAUAUGAGCAUCACAAAUGAAUUUCACUCUGGAGCCUGGAGGUUGGGCAGGUUUUCCCAGACAAGAAGUCUGCUUACCAGGCAAUUAAUAGGUAUGCAAUCGCCCUCCACCGCCAGCAUAAAGUGAAGCAGUCUGAUAAAAAAGAGUUGAAGGUCAUAUGCAUCCACACCAUGGAAGGUUGCCGCGGAAGAGUUCUCGCUAGACUGAAGCCUGGGGUAUGUUGAAGGAAAUAUGCCCUAGAGGCAAUAAUAAAGUUAUUAUUUAUUUCCUUAUUUCAUGAUAAACCUUUAUUAUUCAUGCUAGAAUUGUAUUAACCGGAAACUUGAUACAUGUGUGAAUACA